Molecule: long non-coding RNA, 752 nt
Organism: Ictalurus punctatus (channel catfish)
Lineage: Eukaryota; Metazoa; Chordata; Actinopteri; Siluriformes; Ictaluridae
Source: Ensembl
GGAUAGACGGGGUUAAAGUGUUCCGAGCCGAGUCGUUCCCCCAGAGGAAUACAGCGAUGCUCACGACGAAAUGAAACGGAAGAAAACAAUACAAGGGAAGAAACUCGGACAGUCUAACAGGCAUGAAGAGGCAUUGGCUGCAGGCAAGUUUGAUGACGUGUGCUCUUCAGGUGAGUUUGAUGAGGUGUGGUCUCUAGGUGAGUUUGAGGAGGCGUGGUCUCCAGGUGAGUUUGAUGAGGUGUGGGCUGCAGAUGAGUUUGAUGAGGUGUGGUCUUUAGGUGAGUUUGAUGAGGCGUGGUCUCCAGGUGAGUUUGAUUAGGCGUGGUCUUCAGGUGAGUUUGAUUAGGCAUGGUCUCCAGGUGAGUUUGAUGAGGCGUGGUCUCCAGGUGAGUUUGAUGAGGCGUGGUCUCCAGGUGAGUUUGAGGAGGCGUGGUCUCCAGGUGAGUUUGAUGAGGCGUGGGCUGCAGAUGAGUUUGAUUAGAUGUGGUCUCCUAUCUUUGGAAUAUUUGGAAUAUUCCACAAGUCGCAUGUUCAACACUUUGUUCCAUCACCUGAAUAUCCUGCAGAUCUAACAAAAGUAAGUUCUCUCACUCUUUCUUUCUUUACUUUUUAGCUUUAUGAUAGUGUCGUAUUGACCGACGAGGUCACCCUGAAAGUACGAACCUGUUACACAAAAUAUGAACUGAAGGUAAACGACUAAUUUGAAACAAAUAUUUUAAGGUAAACAUAAUAACAUUCUUAAUGUCUUCAUG